AGGUGCAGACAUAGUAAGGAUUGACAGACUGAGAGCACUUUCUUGAUUCUAUGGGUGGUGGUGCAUGGUCGUUCUUAGUUGGUGGAGCGAUUUGUCUGGUUAAUUCCGUUAACGAACGAAACCUCAGCCUGCUAACUAGCUACACAGAGGUGAUCCUCUGUGGCUAGCUUCUUAGAGGGACUAUGGCCUUUUAGGCCACAGAAGUUUGAGGCAAUAACAGGUCUGUGAUGCCCUUAGAUGUUCU
Molecule: non-coding RNA, 244 nt
Filed under: Gossypium hirsutum (cotton)
Lineage: Eukaryota; Viridiplantae; Streptophyta; Magnoliopsida; Malvales; Malvaceae
Description: Eukaryotic small subunit ribosomal RNA
Rfam family: Eukaryotic small subunit ribosomal RNA
Source: Rfam by way of RNAcentral